CCUACGGGUGACUGCAGUGGGGAAUUUUGGACAAUGGGCGCAAGCCUGAUCCAGCUAUUCCGCGUGUGGGAAGACGGCCUUCGGGUUGUAAACCACUUUUGUAGAGAACGAAAAGUCUGUUGAUAAUACCGAUAGAUGAUGACGGUACUCUAAGAAUAAGCACCGGCUAACUACGUGCCAGCAGCCGCGGUAAUACGUAGGGUGCGAGCGUUAAUCGGAAUUACUGGGCGUAAAGGGUGUGCAGGCGGUUUUGCAAGAUGGAUGUGAAAGCCCCGGGCUUAACCUGGGAAAGCCAUACAUGACUGCAAGACUAGAGUGCGUCAGAGGGGGGUGGAAUUCCAAGUGUAGCAGUGAAAUGCGUAGAUAUUUGGAAGAACACCGAUGGCGAAGGCAGCCCCCUGGGACGCAACUGACGCUCAUACACGAAAGCGUGGGGAGCAAACAGGAUUAGAUACUCUUGUAGUC
Molecule: ribosomal RNA, 465 nt
Filed under: uncultured bacterium
Lineage: Bacteria
Description: partial 16S ribosomal RNA
Rfam family: Bacterial small subunit ribosomal RNA
Source: RNAcentral